Molecule: ribosomal RNA, 487 nt
Filed under: uncultured bacterium
Lineage: Bacteria
Description: bacterial SSU rRNA
Rfam family: Bacterial small subunit ribosomal RNA
Source: RNAcentral
CUACGUGCCAGCAGCCGCGGUAAUACGUAGGUGGCAAGCGUUGUCCGGAAUUAUUGGGCGUAAAGCGCGCGCAGGCGGAUCAGUCAGUCUGUCUUAAAAGUUCGGGGCUUAACCCCGUGAUGGGAUGGAAACUGCUGAUCUAGAGUAUCGGAGAGGAAAGUGGAAUUCCUAGUGUAGCGGUGAAAUGCGUAGAUAUUAGGAAGAACACCAGUGGCGAAGGCGACUUUCUGGACGAAAACUGACGCUGAGGCGCGAAAGCCAGGGGAGCGAACGAGAUUAGAUACCCCGGUAGUCCUGGCCGUAAACGAUGGGUACUAGGUGUAGGAGGUAUCGACCCCUUCUGUGCCGGAGUUAACGCAAUAAGUACCCCGCCUGGGGAGUACGACCGCAAGGUUGAAACUCAAAGGAAUUGACGGGGGCCCGCACAAGCGGUGGAGUAUGUGGUUUAAUUCGACGCAACGCGAAGAACCUUACCAGGUCUUGACAU